AUAAAUAUAGAAUUAGUGGGGCGUUACUUCCCCUUAAUAGCCGUGAUAUAGUCAAUAACCGUUCGUGACGGUUAUGAUAUGUUGAGCAGAUUGCCGACCAUAUGUCGGUAUAACCGACUUUAUGUCGGCAGAAUCUAUGAGCGACCGUCGGCUAUUAGCUCUGUCAUGCCGACGCAUACCGACGGUCUAAGUUGUCCGCUGUCGAUCAGUGGUAGUCGAAUACUAGUCGGUCAAUCGAUCGUAGUUGAUUAGCUGACAGUAGGUCGGUGCACUUAGCUCAAUCAUUCGAUGGAG
This 294-nucleotide long non-coding RNA is filed under the name Elaeis guineensis (African oil palm). RNAcentral's name for it is "long non-coding RNA (EGUI_LNC001507)". The record is from RNAcentral. Lineage: Eukaryota; Viridiplantae; Streptophyta; Magnoliopsida; Arecales; Arecaceae.